GAUGAACGCUGGCGGCGUGCCUAAUACAUGCAAGUCGAGCGAACAGACGAGGAGCUUGCUCCUCUGACGUUAGCGGCGGACGGGUGAGUAACACGUGGAUAACCUACCUAUAAGACUUGGAUAACUUCGGGAAACCGGAGCUACUACCGGAUAAUAUAUUGAACCGCAUGGUUCAAUAGUGAAAGACGGUUUUGCUUUCACUUAUAGAUGGAUCCGCGCCGCAUUAGCUAGUUGGUAAGGUAACGGCUUACCAAGGCGACGAUGCGUAGCCGACCUGAGAGGGUGGUCGGCCACACUGGAACUGAGACACGGUCCAGACUCCUACGGGAGGCAGCAGUAGGGAAUCUUACGCAAUGGGCGAAGGCCUGACGGAGCAGCGCCGCGUGGGUGAUGAAGGUCUUCGGAUCGUAAAACUCUGUUAUUAGGGAAGAACAAAUGUGUAAGUAACUAUGCACGUCUUGACGGUACCUAAUCAGAAAGCCACGGCUAACUACGUG
Molecule: ribosomal RNA, 497 nt
Filed under: uncultured bacterium
Lineage: Bacteria
Description: partial 16S ribosomal RNA
Rfam family: Bacterial small subunit ribosomal RNA
Source: RNAcentral